GACGAACGCUGGCGGCGUGCUUAACACAUGCAAGUCGAACGGUAAGGCCCUUCGGGGUACACGAGUGGCGAACGGGGGAGUAACACGUGGGUGAUCUGCCCUGCACUUCGGGAUAAGCCUGGGAAACUGGGUCUAAUACCGGACAGGACUCCUGGCUUCCUGGUUGGGGGGGGAAAGCUUUUGCGGUGUGGGAUGGGCCCGCGGCCUAUCAGUUUGUUGGUGGGGUAAUGGCCUAGCAAGGCGCCGACGGGUAGCCGGCCUGAGAGGGUGACCGGUCACACUGGGACUGAGAUACGGGCCAGACUCCUACGGGAGGCAGCAGUGGGGAAUAUUGCACAAUGGGCGCAAGCCUGAUGCAGCGACGCCGCGUGAGGGAUGACGGCCUUCGGGUUGUAAACCUCUUUCAGCUAUGACGAAGCGCAAGUGACGGUAGUAGCAGAAGAAGGACCGGCCAACUACGUGCCAGCCGCCGCAGUAA
Molecule: ribosomal RNA, 478 nt
Filed under: uncultured bacterium
Lineage: Bacteria
Description: partial 16S ribosomal RNA
Rfam family: Bacterial small subunit ribosomal RNA
Source: RNAcentral